AGUUUGAUCAUGGCUCAGGAUGAACGCUGGCGGCGUGCCUAACACAUGCAAGUCGAGCGAUCUUCUUCGGAAGAGAGCGGCGGACGGGUGAGUAACGCGUGGGUAACCUGCCUCAUACACAUGGAUAACAUACCGAAAGGUAUGCUAAUACAAGAUGAUAUAAGAGAUUCGCAUGGAUUUCUUAUCAAAGCUUUUGCGGUAUGAGAUGGACCCGCGUCUGAUUAGCUAGUUGGUAAGGUAAUGGCUUACCAAGGCGACGAUCAGUAGCCGACCUGAGAGGGUGAUCGGCCACAUUGGAACUGAGACACGGUCCAAACUCCUACGGGAGGCAGCAGUGGGGAAUAUUGCACAACGGGCGAAAGCCUGAUGCAGCAACGCCGCGUGAGCGAUGAAGGCCUUCGGGUCGUAAAGCUCUGUCCUCAAGGAAGAUAAUGACGGUACUUGAGGAGGAAGCCCCGGCUAACUACGUG
This 470-nucleotide ribosomal RNA is filed under the name uncultured bacterium. RNAcentral's name for it is "bacterial SSU rRNA". It matches the Rfam family "Bacterial small subunit ribosomal RNA", at positions 10 to 507 of the family's 1533-position model. The record is from RNAcentral.